RNAcentral lists this ribosomal RNA (485 nucleotides) under uncultured Pelotomaculum sp. Its description in RNAcentral is "bacterial SSU rRNA". It matches the Rfam family "Bacterial small subunit ribosomal RNA", at positions 903 to 1382 of the family's 1533-position model. Lineage: Bacteria; Bacillati; Bacillota; Clostridia; Eubacteriales; Desulfotomaculaceae. The record is from RNAcentral.
CUACAAAUGAAUUGACGGGGCCCGCACAAGCGGUGGAGCAUGUGGUUUAAUUCGACGCAACGCGAAGAACCUUACCAGGGCUUGACAUCCCCUGACCGCGUAUGAAAGUACGUUUUCACCCUCGGGUGACAGGGAGACAGGUGGUGCAUGGUUGUCGCCAGCUCGUGUCGUGAGAUGUUGGGUUAAGUCCCGCAACGAGCGCAACCCCUACGUUUAGUUGCUAACGCGUGAAGGCGAGCACUCUAGACGAACUGCCGUUGACAAAACGGAGGAAGGUGGGGAUGACGUCAAAUCAUCAUGCCCCUUAUGUUCUGGGCUACACACGUGCUACAAUGGCCGGUACAGACGGACGCAAAGCCGCGAGGUGGAGCAAAUCCUAAAAAGCCGGUCUCAGUUCGGAUUGCAGGCUGCAAUUCGCCUGCAUGAAGUCGGAAUCGCUAGUAAUCGCAGGUCAGCAUACUGCGGUGAAUACGUUCCCGGGCCUU